UCCUGCAGGAGGAGAGGAAAGGCAGGGCUAGGAGCGGGGCCCUGCUCUGUGGCCUCUCAGGCAGUUGCUUCCCCUUCGGGGCUCUCUCCCCUCUUCCAUGCUGGGCUUUCAGUCUGAUUACCAAGCAAAGCAAACGACCUUCAGUAACCCCAGUCGCUGCUGCGGUUUCCAUCCCUCCUGGGGCCCCUGACCCACUGCUCCGAUGGAUUGCCGUGUGGCAGGGACAGGAGAAGACGCAGGCAGAACGCCAUGUCCGAGACAGAGAGCUGGCGGCUGCAGUCCAGGGCCCCACAGCCAAUGAACGAGGCAGCCCCCUGCCAUCUUUCUCCAGCUCUGUCCAAUAAACUUCAGUUUGGUUUGACUAUGAACCUGUCCAAGUGCCUUGGGCUGAGGAGACUGUGGAACUGAGGUGAAACCAGUGAACAGGGCUGCACUGUCUCCACUGAAGCAGCAGAUUGGCGUGCAUUGUGGGUGUUCAGAAGAUAAGGGACCGGGCAUUCGAGUGUCACAAAGUGGGGUGUGCAAAUUGCCAGCCGGCAGAGGCCACGGAGCUCGAGCACAACGCCUGUGUUGGCAGCAGAUGGUGGCGGGUGAGUAAGCAGGUGGGAGUAAUUCACCCCAGACAGCUCAGGUACCCCCCAAAAAGGGUCACACCAGGUUGGGGUAGAUCACUGGUGUCGAUUUUGCAGAGGUUUGGGCUGAGGUUUUACCCCCAUUCUGGCUUGGAGGCCUUCCUGCAUUUGCAUGUUAGUUUUUAUUUGCACCUAAUGGAUUGGUAUGCGGAUUUAAUGAAUUCAUGUUUUCCUAAUUGUUCUAUUUUGCAGCAAGUUGAAGGUUCUGUUCUAGGUGCCAGCUGAGUCUAAGGCGGUUCUGUGCUCUAUGAAGCAGGCAAAUCGCUUACCAUUUGUUGUUUCUGUCGGUUUGUUAACGAGGGUGUCAACCCUCCAGCUGGGAGCGAGCUUCCCAGCCUGGCUCCAUAGACUCGCGGUAGCAGGGAUCAUGCUAGCGCCUUGGGCUGGAGCUCUCAAGCUCCCUCACUCCCCUUCGGCUCCAGCCCAAGCUGGAACAUCAAAGCAUCAUCUACACAGCUCUCUGUAGAGCCCUCUUGUGAGCCCCAUUGGCACAAGUCUGUGGACCUGGCCUGGGAGGCUCUCCCAGAUGCAGUGUGGACCCAUCAGGAGUGUCUGCAGGGCAGGGCUGGGAAAGUCUGUGACAGGGCAGAGUUAAGGUGACUUGGGGGCCCUAGCUCUGCAUUUCAAGCCCUUACCAUGUCUGGAGUGCUGUUAAACUUCCCCUGACCUGUGAAUUUCCUGGGCUCACGCUGCAGGGAUUGGGGAUAAUGACAUCUCGACAAUGUAUUUUACCCUCAGGUGCUGACACGUCCUCUCAGGGGUAACCCAUUUACCACAGCCCCUGUCUGGGGAAUGGGAGGAAGUGACAAAACAUCUGCAGCUGCUUCUCCCACAGCCAGUUCUGACUCAUUUCUGCUUUGGAACCAUAGAGUAAUUAGUCACCAGAGCCCAUCGCAGGGAGGGGCUGGAUUGGCAGGUCAGGUUCAGUGUCAUUUAACACUGCCUGGGCCAGGGAUUCUUAGGGUUGAUCCACUGAAGGCGCCCUUCAGCCCUGGCAUAUUAUCAGGGGCCCGGGGAGCUGUAGUGAUAUUUUCAAGGGUAAUUCUGUUUCCCGUUAUAUUUCCAUGGCCUUGCAUCAGGGGGCCAGGAUGGAGCCUCUUGUAGAGGUCCCAGAAGUGUCUGUCCACAUCCCACUAGUCUGGAUUGGCAUCUCUGUUCCUGAUCCCACACCCCAAACAGCUACAGACCUACAGCCCCAGGCCAACCCCACACGUGCUCUGGGACAUUCCUCUACCUUUGUUCUCCUGGGGACAGCCCACUCUUGGCCCAUCUAGCACCAGCCACCCAGGCAGUGCAAGCCUGUUAACUGCUUUCCCCUUCCCUGUCCCUGGGAGGGGGGCCAGGGUUACACUCUUCAUUUACAAUGGGGAAAUGCAGGCCUGGAGAAGGCGGACAGAAGGGGGACAGAACCAGGAACAGAACCCUAGUGCCUUGCCUGCAUCUCUGUUGCUCUAACCACUAGACUCUCAUUCCCUUUGCUAAGGAGUGCUUGGCAGCAGCGCUGGCUGGGGGCUGGCUCACAGCCAGGCUGGGAGUGCCCACACUUACCUUCUGAGUGGUGGGAGAGAGUGAGCAGACUGACGCAGGAGGCGCCGAUGCCGGAGCCAAAGACAGUGAUUCGCAGGGGGUCCCCCCCGAAGAAGGCAAUAUUUUCACUGAUCCAGCGCAGCGCCUGGAUCUGAUCCAGCAGCCCAUAGUUCCCCUUGGCUGCCUGGUCCCCGGUGCUCAGGAAUCCUGCAGCCAAACGGAACCCACUUAGGACACAGCAAGCAGCCGGUCUCGUGACCUCCCACAAUCCCCUCCAGUCCCAGCCAGCGUGGGAGCCCCUCUCAAACCUCCGUCUGCGAGCACCUGUGGCCAAGGCCGUGCAGCAAGCCUCUGGGAUCUUCUUUGUGAGCCUCAGAGCUGAGGCCAGGAACCCCCACUGUGAGCCCCCGGGGCCCCCAUUUCCCUGCCAGUCCCUGGCACCUGCCCACUUAGAGCCCCCAGGAACAGGCUCUGAAUCUUUUGGGGCCUCCAUCCCCGCUAUGAAAUGGGGACAAAGAGCCUGCCUUUCCCAGCUGGACUCUCCCACUGCUCCUUCCCACUCCUCUCCUGGGCACAAUGUAGCAGCCCAGCCCACACCCCUUGGGUGGCCAGCAGGGCUCAGUGCAGAGGAAUGGGCCUACAUGGGCACUCGGCUGAGCCAUCUGCUUUCUGAGAGAUGACCUCCCACUCGAUUGACCACCAUCAAUAGAGUGACUCAGGCCCUGAGCCCUGUUCCAGCACAGGCUGCAAGGAGCCGUCCUGCUGGGCUGACGAACCCAGGAGUCCCCCAGCCACCUCCCCAUCGCCCGGCAGGGCAACAUCUCUCUCUGCCUGCAGACACUCUCCAGGUCCCUGUGGCUCUCACUGCUCCAGCAGGGGUGGGGGGCUCACUUCCCCAGAGCGGUGGGGCUCCUCACGGCCCAGGGAAGCCAUCAGCUUCUGCCCUCAGCAAUUUCUUCAGGCCAAACCAUUGGCUUGGGGCACUAGCUAAAGAAACGACCAGGCCCCCCACAGUCCCUGACUCCAGCAUCAGCCCAGAGAGCAGUAUGUCCACUGCUCAUGGCAGGGCUCACCAGCCCAGCCCCCAGCCUUCGCCAGGCCUGCAGCAGCUGGCAGAGCCAACGUUCCUCCAUUCUGCAGAGCACCCAGGCCAAGCAUCCUGUCAUCAGCCUUCUAACGCAGCUGGGGGAGGGGAGUGGAAAGCCCCCAGAAAGCCCCUGUUCACAGACAAGUUGGGCUGGGGCAGAGGGAGGGUUUGGGGUGCCAGGCAUAAACAAGAGGGCUCCGGAUGAACCUGGCCACAGGAGAGGAUCCCCAACAAGGCAGCUCCUCUGUCCACCUCAGGAAUGCUCCAGCCCAGGCUCUGGGAGCUGGGGCUGGGAAGAGGUGCCUGAUGCCUGAUUUUGAGAAGCCUGUGUGUCCCUAGCCCCAACGGAUGUCAGUGUGAAUCACGCCCCAGGAAUCUCAGGUCAGCACACUUGGCCUAUGUGAUUCGGUCCAACAUCUGCAGCUGGCCUGCCUGAGCCCACCCUCCCUCCACAGGACACUCUCCCAAGGGAAAGGUGGAAGAAUACACACACUGCAGGGACCAAGCCCUCCGGCCGCCCUGGGGGAGAGGGGCUAGAUAUGGCCUUGCCCAUCUGGAGCGGCUCAGCUCUGCAUGGCUUCAGUGCCAGCUGGCCCACUGGCCAUUGCCAGGAGCAAAGCUGUGCCCUGCAAGCGCUGACACAGCCUGGCUCUGGGGUCUGCUGUGGUGCGCCAGCAGGGUAAGCCAUCUGCCCUUCGAGAAAGCUCCCAUCGAUCUGUUUCCUGAGGCAGAAUGGAUGGGACAUGUCCCAGGGGGCGGCUCAUUAGCGCUGGCUGGGCAGCUGCUGCUCCCAGCCUCCAGGGAGGAGGAGCUGGAUAAACACAUGUAUUAAUUAUUUAACCGUGGAUCAAUAUUUGCUUUCAGCUGAGCCAGGCUGUGUAAAUGAAACUAAACUCCCCAGUCCAGGGAGCCUCAGCGCUGCCCCAGAGCCCAGCCACAGGCAUGUAGAGCGCUGGCAGAGAGGUCGGGGACAGGCAGCAGGAAGCACAAAGGGCCAGCUAGAGGCCCCACGCCCACUCCCACCUUUCUCAGUAAGAACAAAGAGGUGUUCUUACAGCUGGAAAAGACUAUAUAAGGCUGAUGCCUCAUCUCCAUCUUGUCUUCAAUCCUGCUUCUUACUUCUGGAGAGACUUUGCUACAAACUGAAGCUCUGAACAAAGGACCGAUGACCCAUCCCAGCUGGGGAGGUUCCAGAGACUUGAGCUAGACCUGCAGUUUAUUCUAUCGCUGCUACAGGCCUGAACCAAGAACUUUGCCAUUACUGUAUGUAAUUGAUCCCAUUUAACCAAUUCUAGCUCUCAUCUCUAUCUUUUUCCUUUUAUAAA
Molecule: long non-coding RNA, 4571 nt
Organism: Trachemys scripta elegans
Lineage: Eukaryota; Metazoa; Chordata; Testudines; Emydidae
Exons: 3
Source: RefSeq, a predicted model, not a curated record